UACGGAGAGUGCUAGCGUUGUUCGGAAUCACUGGGCGUAAAGGGCGUGUAGGCGGUCUGUUAAGUCUGAUGUGAAAUCCCCUCGCUUAACGAGGGAACUGCGUCGGAAACUGGGCAACUUGAGUACGGGAGAGGGUAGUGGAAUUCCGAGUGUAGGGGUGAAAUCCGUAGAUAUCCGGAGGAACACCGGUGGCGAAGGCGGCCACCUGGACAGGUACUGACGCUGAGGCGCGAAAGCGUGGGGAGCAAACAGG
Molecule: ribosomal RNA, 253 nt
Filed under: uncultured bacterium
Lineage: Bacteria
Description: partial 16S ribosomal RNA
Rfam family: Bacterial small subunit ribosomal RNA
Source: RNAcentral